GUGGCUUGCUCUCUCGCUUUCUCUCUCUCUCUGUCUCUCUCUGGUCAAAUUAAAAUAAAAUGAAUGAAUAAAUAAAAUUUUUUAAAAAAGAGAACACGAGGUAGUCAAGUUUCCAAAACUCCAGACACAUCCAUAUGAGGUGCUGCAUGUGACAGUCUGCCUUUCUUU
Molecule: small nuclear RNA, 168 nt
Filed under: Tupaia belangeri chinensis (Chinese tree shrew)
Lineage: Eukaryota; Metazoa; Chordata; Mammalia; Scandentia; Tupaiidae
Description: Tupaia chinensis (Chinese tree shrew) 7SK RNA
Rfam family: 7SK RNA
About the family: 7SK was discovered as an abundant small nuclear RNA in the mid-70s but a possible function has only recently been suggested. Two independent studies have found that 7SK RNA binds the CDK9/cyclin T complex (known as elongation factor P-TEFb).
Source: Rfam by way of RNAcentral